UACGUAGGGCGCAAGCGUUAUCCGGAAUUAUUGGGCGUACAGAGCUCGUAGGCGGUCUGUCGCGUCGGCUGUGAAAACCCGGGGCUCAACCCCGGGCCUGCAGUCGAUACGGGCAGACUAGAGUGCGGUAGGGGAGACUGGAAUUCCUGGUGUAGCGGUGAAAUGCGCAGAUAUCAGGAGGAACACCGGUGGCGAAGGCGGGUCUCUGGGCCGUAACUGACGCUGAGGCGCGAAAGCGUGGGGAGCAAACAGG
This 253-nucleotide ribosomal RNA is filed under the name uncultured bacterium. RNAcentral describes it as "partial 16S ribosomal RNA". It matches the Rfam family "Bacterial small subunit ribosomal RNA", at positions 524 to 776 of the family's 1533-position model. The record is from RNAcentral.